RNAcentral lists this ribosomal RNA (2918 nucleotides) under Klebsiella pneumoniae. RNAcentral describes it as "23S ribosomal RNA". It matches the Rfam family "Bacterial large subunit ribosomal RNA". Lineage: Bacteria; Pseudomonadati; Pseudomonadota; Gammaproteobacteria; Enterobacterales; Enterobacteriaceae. The record is from RNAcentral.
GGGUUGUGAGGUUAAGCGACUAAGCGUACACGGUGGAUGCCCGGCAGUCAGAGGCGAUGAAGGACGUGCUAAUCUGCGAAAAGCGUCGGUAAGGUGAUAUGAACCGUUACAGCCGGCGAUGUCCGAAUGGGGAAACCCAGUGCAAUUCGUUGCACUAUCGUUAACUGAAUACAUAGGUUAACGAGGCGAACCGGGGGAACUGAAACAUCUAAGUACCCCGAGGAAAAGAAAUCAACCGAGAUUCCCCCAGUAGCGGCGAGCGAACGGGGAGCAGCCCAGAGUCUGAAUCAGCUUGUGUGUUAGUGGAACGGUCUGGAAAGUCCGACGGUACAGGGUGAUAGUCCCGUACACCAAAAUGCACAGGUUGUGAACUCGAAGAGUAGGGCGGGACACGUGGUAUCCUGUCUGAAUAUGGGGACCAUCCUCCAAGGCUAAAUACUCCUGACUGACCGAUAGUGAACCAGUACCGUGAGGGAAAGGCGAAAAGAACCCCGGCGAGGGAGUGAAAAGAACCUGAAACCGUGUACGUACAAGCAGUGGGAGCACCUUCGGGUGUGACUGCGUACCUUUUGUAUAAUGGGUCAGCGACUUAUAUUCUGUAGCAAGGUUAACCGUAUAGGGGAGCCGCAGGGAAACCGAGUCUUAACUGGGCGUUAAGUUGCAGGGUAUAGACCCGAAACCCGGUGAUCUAGCCAUGGGCAGGUUGAAGGUUGGGUAACACUAACUGGAGGACCGAACCGACUAAUGUUGAAAAAUUAGCGGAUGACUUGUGGCUGGGGGUGAAAGGCCAAUCAAACCGGGAGAUAGCUGGUUCUCCCCGAAAGCUAUUUAGGUAGCGCCUCGUGAACUCAUCUUCGGGGGUAGAGCACUGUUUCGGCUAGGGGGUCAUCCCGACUUACCAACCCGAUGCAAACUACGAAUACCGAAGAAUGUUAUCACGGGAGACACACGGCGGGUGCUAACGUCCGUCGUGAAGAGGGAAACAACCCAGACCGCCAGCUAAGGUCCCAAAGUCAUGGUUAAGUGGGAAACGAUGUGGGAAGGCACAGACAGCCAGGAUGUUGGCUUAGAAGCAGCCAUCAUUUAAAGAAAGCGUAAUAGCUCACUGGUCGAGUCGGCCUGCGCGGAAGAUGUAACGGGGCUAAACCAUGCACCGAAGCUGCGGCAGCGACACUAUGUGUUGUUGGGUAGGGGAGCGUUCUGUAAGCCUGCGAAGGUGUGCUGUGAGGCAUGCUGGAGGUAUCAGAAGUGCGAAUGCUGACAUAAGUAACGAUAAAGCGGGUGAAAAGCCCGCUCGCCGGAAGACCAAGGGUUCCUGUCCAACGUUAAUCGGGGCAGGGUGAGUCGACCCCUAAGGCGAGGCCGAAAGGCGUAGUCGAUGGGAAACAGGUUAAUAUUCCUGUACUUGGUGUUACUGCGAAGGGGGGACGGAGAAGGCUAUGUUAGCCGGGCGACGGUUGUCCCGGUUUAAGCAUGUAGGCUGGUUAUCCAGGCAAAUCCGGAUAAUCAAGGCUGAGGUGUGAUGACGAGGCACUACGGUGCUGAAGUAACAAAUGCCCUGCUUCCAGGAAAAGCCUCUAAGCAUCAGGUAACAUCAAAUCGUACCCCAAACCGACACAGGUGGUCAGGUAGAGAAUACCAAGGCGCUUGAGAGAACUCGGGUGAAGGAACUAGGCAAAAUGGUGCCGUAACUUCGGGAGAAGGCACGCUGGUGUGUAGGUGAAGUCCCUGCGGAUGGAGCUGAGACCAGUCGAAGAUACCAGCUGGCUGCAACUGUUUAUUAAAAACACAGCACUGUGCAAACACGAAAGUGGACGUAUACGGUGUGACGCCUGCCCGGUGCCGGAAGGUUAAUUGAUGGGGUUAUCCGUAAGGAGAAGCUCUUGAUCGAAGCCCCGGUAAACGGCGGCCGUAACUAUAACGGUCCUAAGGUAGCGAAAUUCCUUGUCGGGUAAGUUCCGACCUGCACGAAUGGCGUAAUGAUGGCCAGGCUGUCUCCACCCGAGACUCAGUGAAAUUGAACUCGCUGUGAAGAUGCAGUGUACCCGCGGCAAGACGGAAAGACCCCGUGAACCUUUACUAUAGCUUGACACUGAACAUUGAGCCUUGAUGUGUAGGAUAGGUGGGAGGCUUUGAAGCGUGGACGCCAGUCUGCGUGGAGCCAACCUUGAAAUACCACCCUUUAAUGUUUGAUGUUCUAACGUUGGCCCCUGACCGGGGUUGCGGACAGUGUCUGGUGGGUAGUUUGACUGGGGCGGUCUCCUCCCAAAGCGUAACGGAGGAGCACGAAGGUUAGCUAAUCCUGGUCGGACAUCAGGAGGUUAGUGCAAUGGCAUAAGCUAGCUUGACUGCGAGCGUGACGGCGCGAGCAGGUGCGAAAGCAGGUCAUAGUGAUCCGGUGGUUCUGAAUGGAAGGGCCAUCGCUCAACGGAUAAAAGGUACUCCGGGGAUAACAGGCUGAUACCGCCCAAGAGUUCAUAUCGACGGCGGUGUUUGGCACCUCGAUGUCGGCUCAUCACAUCCUGGGGCUGAAGUAGGUCCCAAGGGUAUGGCUGUUCGCCAUUUAAAGUGGUACGCGAGCUGGGUUUAGAACGUCGUGAGACAGUUCGGUCCCUAUCUGCCGUGGGCGCUGGAGAAUUGAGGGGGGCUGCUCCUAGUACGAGAGGACCGGAGUGGACGCAUCACUGGUGUUCGGGUUGUCAUGCCAAUGGCACUGCCCGGUAGCUAAAUGCGGAAGAGAUAAGUGCUGAAAGCAUCUAAGCACGAAACUUGCCCCGAGAUGAGUUCUCCCUGAGACUAUAAGUCUCCUGAAGGAACGUUAAAGACGAUGACGUUGAUAGGCCGGGUGUGUAAGCGCAGCGAUGCGUUGAGCUAACCGGUACUAAUGAACCGUGAGGCUUAACCUUACAACGCCGAAG